This 253-nucleotide ribosomal RNA is filed under the name uncultured bacterium. RNAcentral describes it as "partial 16S ribosomal RNA". It matches the Rfam family "Bacterial small subunit ribosomal RNA", at positions 524 to 776 of the family's 1533-position model. The record is from RNAcentral.
UACGUAGGGGGCGAGCGUUGUCCGGAUUUAUUGGGCGUAAAGAGCGUGUAGGCGGCCAGGUAGGUCUGCUGUGAAAGCUCGAGGCUCAACCUCGAGACGUCGGCGGAAACCAUCUGGCUAGAGUCCGGAAGAGGAGAGUGGAAUUCCUGGUGUAGCGGUGAAAUGCGCAGAUAUCAGGAAGAACACCCGUGGCGAAGGCGGCUCUCUGGGACGGUACUGACGCUGAGACGCGAAAGCGUGGGGAGCGAACAGG